Molecule: ribosomal RNA, 274 nt
Filed under: uncultured bacterium
Lineage: Bacteria
Description: partial 16S ribosomal RNA
Rfam family: Bacterial small subunit ribosomal RNA
Source: RNAcentral
AUACGGAGGGGGUUAGCGUUGUUCGGAAUUACAGGGCGUAAAGCGUACGUAGGCGGACUGGAAAGUUGGGGGUGAAAUCCCGGGGCUCAACCCCGGAACUGCCUCCAAAACUUCCAAUCUAGAGAUCGAGAGAGGUGAGUGGAAUUCCAAGUGUAGAGGUGAAAUUCGUAGAUAUUUGGAGGAACACCAGUGGCGAAGGCGGCUCACUGGCUCGAUACUGACGCUGAGGUACGAAAGCGUGGGGAGCAAACAGGAUUAGAAACCCUAGUAGUCC